Molecule: transfer RNA, 75 nt
Filed under: Candidatus Moranbacteria bacterium RIFOXYA1_FULL_44_7
Lineage: Bacteria; Candidatus Moraniibacteriota
Also listed under: 3 other names
Description: tRNA-Arg
Rfam family: tRNA
About the family: Transfer RNA (tRNA) molecules are approximately 80 nucleotides in length. Their secondary structure includes four short double-helical elements and three loops (D, anti-codon, and T loops). Further hydrogen bonds mediate the characteristic L-shaped molecular structure. tRNAs have two regions of fundamental functional importance: the anti-codon, which is responsible for specific mRNA codon recognition, and the 3' end, to which the tRNAs corresponding amino acid is attached (by aminoacyl-tRNA synthetases). tRNAs cope with the degeneracy of the genetic code in two manners: having more than one tRNA (with a specific anti-codon) for a particular amino acid; and 'wobble' base-pairing, i.e. permitting non-standard base-pairing at the 3rd anti-codon position.
Source: RNAcentral
GUCCCCGUAGUUCAAUGGAUAGAACAAGAGACUCCUAAGCUUUAGAUGGAGGUUCGAUUCCUCCCGGGGACACAA